This 76-nucleotide ribosomal RNA is filed under the name Pseudomonas aeruginosa. RNAcentral's name for it is "partial 16S ribosomal RNA". It matches the Rfam family "Bacterial small subunit ribosomal RNA", at positions 1458 to 1533 of the family's 1533-position model. Lineage: Bacteria; Pseudomonadati; Pseudomonadota; Gammaproteobacteria; Pseudomonadales; Pseudomonadaceae. RNAcentral also lists the same sequence under 8 other names. The record is from RNAcentral.
CACGGUGUGAUUCAUGACUGGGGUGAAGUCGUAACAAGGUAGCCGUAGGGGAACCUGCGGCUGGAUCACCUCCUUA